GGACCCGGGUACGUCCUUAAACUACGUCCAAAAGAGAGGUAUGGGCAUUGUGAAUUUCAUCUCGCUUUGUGUGGUAGGGCACAGCCAUUGGAUGUCAUUCCAUAUCUAGAGCAGAGCCCAACUGGGGAAGUACAUCCACCUUACAGAAAACCGCAGCCAAAUAACACUAGACCCUACUCAUAGUGUUGUGUUCCUGCAGGUGAGUAAGUUUGCCAGAGCUCAACGAGGGUGGGAGGGGGUUAGGGUCGGCAACGCGCAUGUAACUCCUCUGGAGUUGCAGGCGUACUUAGGCUACGGAUACUGCUUACCAUCAGGCAGGCCGUAUGCUUGUUUGCCACCGACGUAGUAUUAAAAAAAAAACUAAUACAAACCUAUUUUCGGGUUGUACUCUUUAGAUCAUGAAAUUCAUAAAGAUAAACAACUUAUACCUUCAUUGUCAGUCCGAUCAAAAGUAACUUUCCAUCGGAACUGGGAAGAACCGCAGUAUCACCAGAUCAUGUUGCCACAUGCAAAAACUAUAUCGCUGUGCCGGGUAAGUACCUAUACGUCUAAAUAUAAGUACUAUAUAUUAGUAUAUUCUUGUAAUCUGUGAAGGUAUAUAAACAAUUUCCUGAGGCAUGAAGAAUCAGUUCUACCGAGUAAUCAACUCUGUUCAGUACGAGAUAAAAUAAACAAAAUGCCACCCACACCUGGCCAAACUUCUGGAAAGCCGCCAACUGUAACUGGUGUUGCUGGACUCGCUGCUGGUAGUGCUGUGGCCGGAGUUAUUGGAUCUCUUGUCGGGUUGGCUUCGGGCCAGGGUGGAAAAAAUAAGUAGUUAUUUACUUCUCUCGCUCUUGCAGCAUUAUGAUGAUUGUAUGAAAUAAAAAAUAGGAAUAAAUAUGUUGUUUUUUUUAUAAGUACAAAAAUACUUAAAUCUUUCUUGGUCUCGCUUCACACACCUUACAAAUCAGUCGUCCUAGCUGGCUGCCUAACUAGGAUCCAAAAAAAUCCUAUUUAGUGCAGUCAGACUCUUCCUAUAUAAAGGCGGUUACACUUACGAUUUACGAUUACUUAGGAUUCUGAAUUAAGUAACAUGUGUGAAGCGCUUUACAAAUAUUUAUUAAUGUGUAAGUUUAAAUGUGUGUUAGUUGAAUUAUACACAGAUUUUAAAACAAAAGUUGUCAUUCAUGUGAGCAUAAAGUGUGUCUAAAGGCCCAUCCAGAGGGAAUGAUCAAAUUGACCAAGUUUAUCUGAAAAUAAAUUGGCGUCAAUUUCAUCUAGCGUCCACAUGUACACAAUUUAAUCACCAAUCUUAGAUCAAAAUAAAACAAAUGCUCUCAAACGCGCAAACUAGUGUCAAAAAUUGGCAUUCUUUCGUCCGUACCUCUGUUUGAUCAGUCGUAAUCUUACAAUCGAAUGUGAGCCAAUUUCAUUUUUGCGUUCACACCACCUGAUUUCAGCUGACAAUUUUAUCAGAUCAGGGAAAAAAUAGUUACGUCUGGACUGACCUUAAGCUAACUUUGCACCGACAUAACAAAGUAAGGAGUGUCAUUAUUUAACGAAAUAUUUUCAUAGAAAUUUGACAUUAAUGAUGGCAAUGCAAUCAUUACACAUGGUAUGCAGAAUUCGAUUAGACUUGCGUGUCUAUAGGCACAAUGGUGGUCGACUUGCGGAAAAUGCUCAGAAGCACUAACUAGAUUGUCCGUCUCUAGCAUGUUUAUUAAUUUUGAAAUGGCAACACCGGGCGAAACUAUCGAGGUUAUUUCUACAGACUGAUAUCAUAUAUAUGCUACGCUCAUACAAGUAUAGUAUGUAUUAUGUAGUAGUUACUUAUAAUUAUCUACGUCAGUGUUGCCAGGCGUACGAUAAUUAUCGUACAUGUACGAUAAUUUGGGCUCCGGUACGAUGUACGUUCCAAAAAGCAUUGUCGUACGUAUUUGAAGCAAAAUAUGACACUUUCCCUCAGAAAUAGGCCACAAUUUCUUUUCAGGGACCUUUUGGGUGUUCGGCUUCUUGGUGUCAGUCAAAAAUGUCGAAAAGUCCUGUAAGCCGUUCGGAUCUGUCACAAACAUAUAAAAAUAUUAAACUGAUGUUUUAGCAUUUUAGACGAAUAUUUACAUCGGACCAUAGCUUAUUUUGCAAGAAAUUUUAGGGGUAGUGCUGUUUUGACAGGCAUACGAUUUUUUUCAUCGGAUCGAUAAUUUUAGAACUCAAAUACGAUAAUUCUCUUCCACUAACCUGGCAACACUGAUCUACGUAUUAUUUCAGUGUCUGCGGAAUGUCGACUAAACCACUCGCCAACGGAGUGCAUUUGUUUAUUUAGUGUAAUUGUGUAAUAUUGCGAUAUGGAAGGGGACGCGAAUAAUGCAGCACCUGAUGCCGUCGUUGGAGAAGUCAUUCAUAAUGGUAUCAGAAUAGGUGCAGGUGUCGCUAGGCCGGUUCAGCGAGUGGUCGGUGCAGCGACCGGCACGGCUGUGGGAGCGGCCGUGGGUGGGCUGUCCGGCGGCCCGGCGGGCGCCGUCGUCGGCGGCGUUGUCGGAUACUUCGUCAGCCGUCAAGCCGUCAGGGAUGACCAUCAGGAUUAACGAGCAGACGAGACUACGACACAUACGUACGGAAUGUCAAACAGAAUUAUAUAAAUAUAUACAUGCAUAGAGAUAAAGAACGAUAAGCGUGACCAUCUGUUGCUUUGAACUACUUAAUAAAUAAAGUGAUUAUAUUGAAACAGUGUAAUUUGAAUAAAUGUAUACUUCAAUCGA
This is a long non-coding RNA of Cydia pomonella (codling moth), 2741 nucleotides long. RefSeq lists it as uncharacterized. The record is from RefSeq and is a predicted model, not a curated record. The transcript is spliced from 5 exons. NCBI's taxonomy places the organism in Eukaryota, Metazoa, Arthropoda, Insecta, Lepidoptera, Tortricidae.